This 698-nucleotide ribosomal RNA is filed under the name uncultured bacterium. Its description in RNAcentral is "bacterial SSU rRNA". It matches the Rfam family "Bacterial small subunit ribosomal RNA", at positions 198 to 879 of the family's 1533-position model. The record is from RNAcentral.
GGGAGAAAGGGGGGGAUCUUCGGACCUCUCGCUAUGAGAUGAGCCCAAGUCGGAUUAGCUAGUUGGUGAGGUAAAGGCUCACCAAGGCGACGAUCCGUAGCUGGUCUGAGAGGAUGAUCAGCCACACUGGAACUGAGACACGGUCCAGACUCCUACGGGAGGCAGCAGUGGGGAAUAUUGGACAAUGGGCGAAAGCCUGAUCCAGCCAUGCCGCGUGUGUGAAGAAGGCCCUCGGGUCGUAAAGCACUUUAAGCGGGGAGGAAGGGGUGUUGGUUAAUAACCAUCAUCAUUGACGUUACCCGCAGAAUAAGCACCGGCUAACUCUGUGCCAGCAGCCGCGGUAAUACAGAGGGUGCAAGCGUUAAUCGGAAUUACUGGGCGUAAAGCGCGCGUAGGCGGUUGUGUAAGUUGGAGGUGAAAUCCCCGGGCUCAACCUGGGCACUGCCUUCAAAACUGCACGGCUAGAGUAUGGGAGAGGAAGGUAGAAUUCCAGGUGUAGCGGUGAAAUGCGUAGAGAUCUGGAGGAAUACCGAUGGCGAAGGCAGCCUUCUGGCCUAAUACUGACGCUGAGUGCGAAAGCAUGGGGAGCAAACAGGAUUAGAUACCCUGGUAGUCCAUGCCGUAAACGAUGUCGACUAGUGUUGGGGAACUUGAUUCCUUAGUGCCGCAGCUAACGCAUUAAGUCGACCGCCUGGGGA